CCAAAAUGUGUCAUCGUAUAAAGUAUCAAUUUUACCUCCCAGUAGGGUGACUCUAAGACCUGGCUGACCGGCUGGGUUCUCUGAAUGUCGCCUGCAAGCAGCGGGGCUCUAAAGACUUUAAAGUGAAAAUCCAAAACUCCACAUGCAAGACAAGGAAAAAGUUGGCAAGCCUGAGUUCAGCUUCUGUCCAUGCAGGUCUCCACUACAAACUCCAGCUGCCGACCAGUGACCCUCCAGUCUGCCGGGACUGCCUCACAGUGCAGUCAGUUUCUCACAUCUGUCUAAGGAGCCUUCUGCUGAUGGCAGCUCCUGGAGCCACCCAUGCUUCUACAGUCUGAGACUGUAAGAAACACAUCAAGAAGACCUUGGCAGACAUGCUAUAAGGUGAGAUCUGGAGGAGCUGAGAGAUGCCUCACCUUCUUGGUUUCUUGUCUGGGCAGGAA
Molecule: long non-coding RNA, 443 nt
Organism: Mesocricetus auratus (golden hamster)
Lineage: Eukaryota; Metazoa; Chordata; Mammalia; Rodentia; Cricetidae
Exons: 3
Source: RefSeq, a predicted model, not a curated record